UUACCCUUCAUUAUGUUGAUAAUGGUUUUUUUAACACGUAAAAUCGAACUUUAAGCCCCUAAACUACUAAAAAAACGAUAAGCGACUUUUUAAAACAAAAGACAAAAAAUUGUAGGUCAUUAUCCUUUUAUUUUAUAUUGAUUGCACAUCACAAAAAUUAAAAGUUAAAAGUUAUAUUACAUAAGUAUAAAUUUAAAAUUUUUAUUAUGUUUAAACGGAUGAUCAUGUUCAAAUGAAGUUGGUAGUUUCGAAUGUAACAUCAUUACAUUUUCAAUUAAACGUGUUACAUAGUUUGGAGAGUUUAGUUACCUACAAACGAAACUCCUUAUUUCGGGUUGGGUUGGCGGGUCGAGAUCCAAUAUAAAACGGGCCGGUUCCGUCAGAUCACAGAUGGAGUCACGGAGAUUGGUUUCGAGCUAGAGUCGGUCAGUCGGAUACCCGGAUGACCCGUACCCGUUACCCAACCUUGCCGACUACAAAAUCAUUCAAUUUGAACAGAACCGAUAUCAACUCGUUUCCAAAUCGAUUUUGUUACCCCUACUCCAAGCCGAUAUUUGUAUCGUGUUUCUUGUUUCCUGGAAUCGCUGCUCAUCAUCUCGCAUAAGGUUAUGGCUGGAUUUGGGAAUUUGGCACCCAAGAGCAAGAAUCUGGUUGUGGCUGGAGGAUUGACUGGUUUUGUGUUUGGUGUGUAUUUCUACACCAUGAGAGCAGUUGGUGGAUCAGAUGAGCUUCAAGUUGCCAUUGAUAAGUAUGAAUCUGAAAAAGUCAAGCAUGGCCCCUAAGCAAAAUGAGUUGUGAAUAAAAUGAAAUGAAGCAUGGGUUUUAAAUAAAGAUGAAUUCUACCAGCACAGUUUUAUUUGUUAUAGUCGAAUAUUUUUAAUAAAGCAUACAUGCUUUGCAAUUUUUCGAUGCUGAACGUGUGUAAAAUGGUUUUUCGAUGUUAAGAGGUUAUUUCUUUUUGACUUAA
Long non-coding RNA from Lactuca sativa (garden lettuce), 967 nucleotides. RefSeq lists it as uncharacterized. Lineage: Eukaryota; Viridiplantae; Streptophyta; Magnoliopsida; Asterales; Asteraceae. The record is from RefSeq and is a predicted model, not a curated record.